Long non-coding RNA from Gymnodraco acuticeps, 1285 nucleotides. RefSeq lists it as uncharacterized. Lineage: Eukaryota; Metazoa; Chordata; Actinopteri; Perciformes; Bathydraconidae. The transcript has 7 exons. The record is from RefSeq and is a predicted model, not a curated record.
UCCACCAGUUGUGGUUGUGGCGGCAAACGUGGCAGAACCAUUUGUACCAGAACUUAGUGACAGAAACAGUGCAGAGUUUAAAGUUCUUGAAAUCAGAGUUGUAACAGUGUAUGAUAUCAUCUACAAGACAAAAUAUGGAUUUCUUUUCAUACGCUCGUUUGUCAUUUCAUUUAGUCAAGCUGUGGUGAUAACUCGAGCUGAUAGUACUGAAGUCGAGAUGGGGCUUGAGUUCAAUCAAACUGCUUCACCUGCAGCAAUCCCAAAGGAUGAUGAUGUUGCAAACACCUUAGAAGAGGCUAUAUCCAACCCAAACAAUACCUUCAACAUCACUGUUGAUGUGACCUCCAUCCGAGUAAUUCCCCCGACAGCUAUCCCAACUACCAGUGGCUGCAACUACAACUACAAGGGCUGCUACAACUAAAAUCACAACGAACUCCUACAACCACCAUAACGAAAGCUACUACAAUUUGCUGAAGCAGUCAUCAAUAAGGCAGUUGACUUUCAGAUCUGCUGGAGAGACAUUUACAACCGAUUUGCAGAAUAGAUUAUCUGCAGCCGUUUAAAGCACGAGCCUCACUAAUAGAGACAACACUUAACCCUAUUUACCAACAACAAUUUUCUUCGUUCCGCUCCUUGACGGUGAUUUUGUUCAGUAAUGGAUCAAUCUUCAACACCAUGAAUAUUAAAUUUGCAUCCACAUCAGUUCCUAGUGGCACUCAGAUUGGAAACAUUUUGGCUGGUGUAGCUUCAAGCAUCACAGCCUUCAACAUUGAAACUGCCUCAAUUUUUUUGGAUGGUGCACAAGUUUCAAAUGGAGUAUGCCACAAGAUGAGUCUCAUCACUGCAUCCUUCCUUGUGCUGCUGUCAUGGCUACUGUCAAGCUUUCAAUAGUGCAGGCUCAUGUCUGUUAAGUGAAAUACAAUUACAGAAAGCCUUACAUACUGUAACUGUAUUGCAUAUCAGACGCAUCACAUAUAACAACAUUUUAACUUAUUGUGCAGAUAUAAUUUACAAUAACAUUUAAAUUGAACACAGUGCCUUCCUUGUAUUAUUAUCCAGUAACUUUUCUUAUUUCUAUCUUUUUAUAUUAUCAUACAUAACUUAUGUGUAUUCUGUGAGCUUACCUUUAUUUUGGAAAAAAACAAGGUCUUCUUGAUGAUCGGAACACAAAAUAUAUUGUAUGUUAUUUUACGUUUUUAGCAUCCGAAAAUAAAAACAAGGUGUAUCUCAAUAAGUUGAAAAUGCUUCCAUUAAAAGGCACUGAAGAUAAGUACAAACAAUCAAA